Molecule: long non-coding RNA, 542 nt
Filed under: Homo sapiens (human)
Lineage: Eukaryota; Metazoa; Chordata; Mammalia; Primates; Hominidae
Description: non-protein coding lnc-TRIQK-9:5
Source: RNAcentral
AGAAGUCGAUAAGACCAGGAGAAGUGAAGAUGUAACAUGUUAUCUGUCGCUCCUCUUAGCUGGCGGAGAGAAUUUACAUUUAAAGAUUAGCAGAGUGAGAAAGAGAAAUCUGCCUUUUGUUGUGUGGGGUGAGGAGGAGGCAUCUACCCCUGGCCUUGACGCUAUCUCCCAUCACCUCUGCUAUCCAGACAGGACUCACCGAGAAAAGAUUGAUCUCUGGGCUGGUGAACAUAAUCUCUGUCCCAGUCAGAAAAGGAGAGAGGAAAUUAGCAGAGCGAUUGGUGGAGAAUGAUAUCUGUCAAAAGAAACACUUGGAGAGCACUGAGUUUAGUAAUAGGUGACUGCCGGAAAAAAGGGAACUUUGAAUAUUGUCAAGAUAAACCCCACUUGAAAAACUGAGGUGCUUAAGGAGUAAAAUAAUAUGUUCCUGGUGGCAUCCUCCAGAUCGUACUGAGAAGCACUCCACAAUGCCAGACUCACCUGUGGAUGUGAAGACGCAAUCUAGGCUGACUCCUCCAACAAUGCCACCUCCCCCAACUACU